Molecule: RNase P RNA, 371 nt
Filed under: Renibacterium salmoninarum ATCC 33209
Lineage: Bacteria; Bacillati; Actinomycetota; Actinomycetes; Micrococcales; Micrococcaceae
Description: Bacterial RNase P class A
Rfam family: Bacterial RNase P class A
About the family: Ribonuclease P (RNase P) is a ubiquitous endoribonuclease, found in archaea, bacteria and eukarya as well as chloroplasts and mitochondria. Its best characterised activity is the generation of mature 5'-ends of tRNAs by cleaving the 5'-leader elements of precursor-tRNAs.
Source: Rfam by way of RNAcentral
UGGGGCAACUGGGCGAUCGCGUGUUGUGCAAACAACCCGAGGAACGUCCGGGCUCCGAAGAGCACAGUGGUGGGUAACACCCACUCGGGGUAACCCGCAGGCCAGUGCCACAGAAAAUAGACCGCCUCUGCAUGCAGAGGUAAGGGUGAAACGGCGGUGUAAGAGACCACCGCUUUCCGGGUGACCGGAAAGGCUAAGGUAAACCCCACUGGGAGCAAGGCCAGACAGGGCACGUUUGAGGGCUGCUCGCCCGAGUGUCCGGGUAGGCUGCUAGAGGGCGUCGGCAACGGCGUCCGUAGAUGGAUGAUCGUCGCUUCUAUGCUGGUAACGGCGUAGUAAGACAGAACCCGGCGUACAGGUUGCCCCAUCCG